RNAcentral lists this ribosomal RNA (748 nucleotides) under Neogrubea seriolellae. RNAcentral describes it as "LSU rRNA". It matches the Rfam family "Eukaryotic large subunit ribosomal RNA", at positions 126 to 505 of the family's 3401-position model. Lineage: Eukaryota; Metazoa; Platyhelminthes; Monogenea; Mazocraeidea; Mazocraeidae. The record is from RNAcentral.
UCCGUUUGGGCGUUGGGCAAUGUGGUGUUUAGGUUAGUGCUCUCAAGUGCUGCUACAUUCCAAGUCCAAUCUUGAAUAUGGCUUUAAUAUGGCCCACAGAGGGUGAAAGGCCCGUAGAGGACGGAGUGGCGCUUGACUGUGCUGACUGUGGAGUCGGGUUGUUUGAGAAUGCAGCCCAAAGUUGGUGGUAAACUCCAUCUAAGGCUAAAUACUGGCACGAGUCCGAUAGCGAACAAGUACCGUGAGGGAAAGUUGAAAAGUACUCUGAAGAGAGAGUAAACAGUGCGUGAAACCGCUUAGAGGUAAACGGGUGUAGUCAAGCUGCAAGCUGUGGGAAAUAUCCGGGUCAGUUGGCGUGAGCCUGAGCACUCUCUUGACGAGAACGGAAGUUGGUCUGUCCUACUAUAUGGACGGGUUGGGCGCGUAAGUGUCUGAUUGGCGUUGCCAGCUAGCUUUCGGUGUUCGGCUGACCCGGCCAUUUUCUCAUGGCGUAAGUCACGACCGUCGUUGCCGUCGGUCCGCUCCGUCUAAACCGUGUCGCGGGUAGUCUUGUGCUGUCUGUGAUACGGGUGGCAGGUGGCCGGUCCGGUACCUAGUGCUGGACUGGUGUAAUUUGCUGGGCGGAGUGGGUUCAAACUGUGCGGUGCGAUGCGGCUAGCGGUGUCUGGCUUGCCUUCUCGCCAAUGUAGUCGUGAUGGGCGUGAGUCUGGCUGCUUGUUGCUGUGUUUCACAGCCCUGCGGUGGCUCU